Molecule: ribosomal RNA, 253 nt
Filed under: uncultured bacterium
Lineage: Bacteria
Description: partial 16S ribosomal RNA
Rfam family: Bacterial small subunit ribosomal RNA
Source: RNAcentral
UACAUGGGGUGCAAACGUUGCUCGGAAUUAUUGGGCGUAAAGCGCACGUAGGCGGUUUGUUAAGUCGGAUGUGAAAUCCCUCGGCUCAACUGAGGAAGUGCACCCGAAACUGGCAGGCUUGAGUACUAAAGAGGGUCGCGGAAUUCCCGGUGUAGAGGUGAAAUUCGUAGAUAUCGGAAGGAACAUCAGUGGCGAAAGCGACUUCCUGGACCAGUACCGACGUUCAGGCACGAAAGCGUGGGGAGCAAACAGG